Molecule: long non-coding RNA, 394 nt
Organism: Andrographis paniculata
Lineage: Eukaryota; Viridiplantae; Streptophyta; Magnoliopsida; Lamiales; Acanthaceae
Exons: 2
Source: RefSeq, a predicted model, not a curated record
UGUUUGAAACAAAGGAAACCAAAUUAACAAGCGAGGGAAUUCUAAAGGCGGCAAAAAUUUUCCCGCAUAUUCUCUCACCGCCAUUGUCGCACCAAAUAUAUCGGGAUGGAAUAAGUACUAUCCGAGGCGAUUUAUCAUCCAUAGUGUAGCCGGCGAGUUGGUAAUGCCUAUUAUCGGCUUGUUGUAGGUGGUUGAGUUCGGCGCUUUCAAGGUCUAGAAGUUGUUGCCUCCCUGCCUGAAGAUGCUGGAACCUGCUUAUGGAUUUCCAUCAAUGAAGCCAACUUCCUCACUCGAGUUGGGGCUCUUGAUCUCCUCUUUAUUGUUCUCCCUGUGGGUUCCAAAGCUAACAGAUCUUCAAAUACUUGCCUUCCAUUCUGAGUGCCAGCAGUUGCGG